CAACCCUCAAGCACAGCUUGGUCUUGGGCUUCGCCGCUAACCCGGCGGGUCUUAAAAUCAGUGGCGGUGCCGUUGGGCCCUGAGCGCAGUAAUUUCUCUCGCUAUAGGGACCCGGCGGAUGCUGGCCAGCAACCCCCAAUUUUCUAU
Molecule: unclassified non-coding RNA, 147 nt
Filed under: uncultured Hyaloscyphaceae
Lineage: Eukaryota; Fungi; Ascomycota; Leotiomycetes; Helotiales
Description: sequence contains ITS2
Source: RNAcentral